This is a long non-coding RNA of Oryza brachyantha (malo sina), 412 nucleotides long. RefSeq lists it as uncharacterized. The transcript is spliced from 3 exons. The record is from RefSeq and is a predicted model, not a curated record. Lineage: Eukaryota; Viridiplantae; Streptophyta; Magnoliopsida; Poales; Poaceae.
CUAGAUAUCCAACUAAGAAACCACAAACAUGUUUCUUUUCGUUAGUACAUUUCUUGAGACUAUGCUUAUUUAUGCAAAACUAUCACAAAACCAUUAUUUUAAGACAGGAUUUUAAUGAACCAUACGAACUUCUCUAAAAUAUUUCUCAGAUAAUGGACUUUCAGUCAAGGUGGCUCUGAUACUUUGGACCAGAUGAAAGAGAUACAGGGCACAUUCUUCCUGUUUUCUUGACAUGGGGGCAUAUUCCACUUGAGGCCAAAAGAUGCACAUCAGGUAUCAUUGAUGCAGGACAUCAAAUUGAAAGGCAUGCUUAUUUCCACCCAGAAGCAGCAGACUCCAGGAGAACACAUGCUACAAAACAUAGCAACAGCAACAACAGGAAUCUGCAACUGCAAGAUGGAUCAUCCAUGGC